GGGCUCGUGGUUUAGUGGUAUAAUUCUCCCUUAGCAUCGUGAGUUCGCCAGUACAGGUUCUACCCAGUGUUUGGGAGCGGUCCGGGGUUCGAUUCCCCGCGAGUCCA
Molecule: non-coding RNA, 107 nt
Organism: Diatrype stigma
Lineage: Eukaryota; Fungi; Ascomycota; Sordariomycetes; Xylariales; Diatrypaceae
Source: the annotation of a GenBank genome assembly